RNAcentral lists this transfer RNA (73 nucleotides) under uncultured Alphaproteobacteria bacterium. RNAcentral describes it as "tRNA-Ala". It matches the Rfam family "tRNA". From Rfam's summary of the family: Transfer RNA (tRNA) molecules are approximately 80 nucleotides in length. Their secondary structure includes four short double-helical elements and three loops (D, anti-codon, and T loops). Further hydrogen bonds mediate the characteristic L-shaped molecular structure. tRNAs have two regions of fundamental functional importance: the anti-codon, which is responsible for specific mRNA codon recognition, and the 3' end, to which the tRNAs corresponding amino acid is attached (by aminoacyl-tRNA synthetases). tRNAs cope with the degeneracy of the genetic code in two manners: having more than one tRNA (with a specific anti-codon) for a particular amino acid; and 'wobble' base-pairing, i.e. permitting non-standard base-pairing at the 3rd anti-codon position. The record is from RNAcentral. Lineage: Bacteria; Pseudomonadati; Pseudomonadota; Alphaproteobacteria.
GGCAUAGCUCAGUUGGGAGAGCGGUUGCUUUGCAAGCAACAGGUCGUCGGUUCGAUCCCGUCUGCCUCCACCA